AGUACCUCCAUCAUAUAUAUAUAUAUAUAUAUAUAUAUAAUCAAUUUGGCUAACUGGCGGUCAGCAGGUGUUGGGGAUCUGUCCAUCUCUGAAAUUGCAGGAAAUCACUAUCAUGCCAGGUUGUACGUGAAGGCUAUGGCUCUGAACUCAGGUCCUCAUGUUCUCACAGCAGAUGCUGUAUUGACCCGGCCAUCUCCCCAGCUUCCAAAGAGAAGCUUAUCAUUCUUAACAGACUGGGCAAUUUAAUUUUUCUUUUUUAAUGUGUAAGAGUGUGUGCCUGCAUGCAUGUAUGUGUACCACAUGCAUGCAGUGCCCACAAAGGCCAGAAGAGGGCAUCAAACCCUCUGGAGCUGGAAUUACAGAUGUUUGUAAGCUGCCCAGUGGGCGCUGGGACGCAAACCCAGGUCUUGGCUAAGAGCAACAAGCAUGCCUGAGUCACCUCCAGCCGUUUAGUUUUGGUUUUUAAAAUGGAGACCUAGGGAUAUCCUCCUGCCUCUGUGUGUACACACGAGCUUGCAAGCCUGCAUCCAUGUGUAUAUGCAUUAUCCACAUACACAUGGAAAAAAAAACAUGGAUCUAUGUGCUCUGUGACCUGAAAAAUCCCGUUAGAGCAAUUAUCUGUCCCUAAACACAGAGUAUAGUGAUCUCCAGGGGCUUUGCAUGAUCAAUUUUAAGAAAUGGACAUUCAAAUUACCACAUAAGCCAGGCAUAGUUUUCUGUACAAUGGGCUUCAGAACACUUCCUGUCACCUUUUUGACACAAACAUGACACUUGCUCAUCCUUCUUGGAGACACUUACAAACCAUUUUCUGACUGGGUCCUUAUUUACCCCAGUUGACCCCAGAGGCAGUGGUCAGUUCUCUGUUAAUGUAGCAAACUACCUGAGGUAACUUUUUUUUUUUUUUGGUUUUUCAAGACAGGGUUUCUCUGUGUAGCUUUGUGCCUUUCCUGGAACUCACUUGGUAGCCCAGGCUGGCCUCGAACUCACAGAGAUCCGCCUGGCUCUGCCUCCUGAGUGCUGGGAUUAAAGGUGUGCGCCACCACCUCCCGGCCUGAGGUAACUUUUAAGAAAGAGAAGAUUGCUCUUUGGUUCAUGGUCCCCCAGGUUUCAGUUGGUGGUGCAUGCCUUUAAUCCCAGCACUGCAGAGGUAAAGGCGGGCAGGUAUAUGUGAGUUUAUGUCUAGCCUGAUCUAAAAAGUGAGUUCCAGACCACCCAGGGUUACACAGUGAGAGUUGCCUCUAAAAGAAUCCCCACAAACAACAAAAACAGUAACUCUGUUGGCUCACCUAGCAUGAUAAUGACCCUGGGGACACCUUGAUUUGGACCCAGUAGGUAUCAGUUUUGGAUUUCCGACCCCCAGUAUUUAGAGUGGAGCCUCACAAUGAGAAGAGAUCGAGGCAAGAUUCUUGCUAAUUUAUUUUUAUUUUCUGUGUCCGUGUGUGUUUCUGAGCACACUUGUGAGCGUGCUGUGGGGCGUGCGUGUGGAGGUCAGAGGACGGUUUGCAGGAGUUGGCUCUUUUCUGCCACUGCGUGGCUUCUGCAGGUCAAACCCAGGUCAUCAGGCUUGGCAGCACACACCAUCACCCGCUGGGCCAUCUCACAGCCUUUUCUUGGUAACAUUAGCAACAUUCCAUCAGGUUACCGAGAAUGGUGACUGCGGUGAACGCUGGGAGCAAUCCCAUUUUCACAUUUUCACCAGUGAUCUCGUGUAUGCUGAUUUUGCUUGUCCUCCAGAAACAAUCCAGGGUCUCAUGUAGCCCAGGCUAGCCUUGAAAUUGUUACAUAGUUGAGGCUGACUUGAAGUCCUGAUUCUCCUGCUUCUACUUCUGACAGCUGUGAUUACAAGCAUGUGCCCAAAUAACAAGCUUCCUUUGUGGGUGCAUGUGUGUGCACAUGGGUGUGAAGUCCAGAGGACAGCCUUGUAGUCUGUCCUUCAGGUACCACAUCUGUUUUCCUUGCAUGUGCUUGAGUGUGUGCCUGUGUGUGCGUGUGUGCCUUCAGAGGCCCCAAAGUGAUGAUAUCUUCCUCGAUCACACUCCACUUUGCUUAUAAGUCGAGGUCUCUAGCUGAACCCAGAGUUGGCCGAUUCCAGCUCAUCCAGCCAGCCAGUCUUCCCCGUGGGUCCCGUCUUUGCCCCUCCUGUACCGGGGUUACAGGCAGCUGCCACACUUGCCUGACUUUGAGUUCUGAGACUCUGAAUCCAGCCCACACCUUUUUUUGAGACCGGAUCUCUAAUAGGCUGGAAGCUCACCAUACAGAACAGGCUAGCUGCUGGCUAGCAAGCCUCGGGGAUCCGCCUGUCUCUGGCUCCCCAGUGCCGGGAUUACGAGUGCACACCACAAUGCCCCGCGUCUAUACCAGUUUGGGGGACUGAACUUGGCUCCUCAGGCUUGUAAGUCAAGCACUCUACCAACUGAGCCAUCUCCCUAACCCCUGGUACUCAUUUAAAAAGACACUUGGCAUUGUUGAUUUUUCUUUCUUUUCAGUUCUGGAAAUGGAACGGAA
Long non-coding RNA from Peromyscus californicus insignis, 2505 nucleotides. RefSeq lists it as uncharacterized. The record is from RefSeq and is a predicted model, not a curated record. NCBI's taxonomy places the organism in Eukaryota, Metazoa, Chordata, Mammalia, Rodentia, Cricetidae. The transcript has 2 exons.